RNAcentral lists this transfer RNA (89 nucleotides) under Caudoviricetes sp. RNAcentral describes it as "tRNA-Ser". It matches the Rfam family "tRNA". Rfam says of the family: Transfer RNA (tRNA) molecules are approximately 80 nucleotides in length. Their secondary structure includes four short double-helical elements and three loops (D, anti-codon, and T loops). Lineage: Duplodnaviria; Heunggongvirae; Uroviricota; Caudoviricetes. The record is from RNAcentral.
GGUGAGUUGGCAGAGUUGGUCGAUUGCGGGUGCCUCGAAAGCAUCUAGACGUGAUGAGCGUCUCCUGGGUUCGAAUCCCAGGCUCACCG